This 1308-nucleotide unclassified non-coding RNA is filed under the name Hevea brasiliensis (rubber tree). Lineage: Eukaryota; Viridiplantae; Streptophyta; Magnoliopsida; Malpighiales; Euphorbiaceae. The record is from RNAcentral.
AAAAGAUAAUAAAAAAAAAAAAGAGGCCCUCAUCAAGAGUUAGGAAGUUGUGAAGAUGCAGCCCGAUCUGAUUCUAUCAUGGAUUUGAUAUAAAAUUCGCCUGCCUUGUAUGAUGAUCUGACCAUGGGACCUGAUGCCACAUACCGAAAUCCCAUUUCCAUGCCAAGUGUUCUGUACUUCUCAAAAGCCUCAGGGGUAAUGUAUUCAGAUACUGGCAUAUGACGCUUUGAUGGUCUCAUAUACUGGCCAAAAGUCAUCACAUCAACACCUGCUGCCCUCACUUUCUCCAUUGUUUUCACAACCUGUUCAGGUGUUUCCCCACAGCCUAACAUUAUUGAAGUCUUGGUAAGUGUUCCAGUGGGAGCAUGAUCUUUGGCCAUCAUUAAAACAUCCAAAGAUUGCUUAAAAUUUGCACGACGAUCCCGUACAACACUUUGAAGUUCUUCAACUGUCUCAAUAUUGUGAGCAAAAACAUCUAAUCCUGAUUUUGCAACUUUCUCUACACAUCCAGGGUCUCCUCGAAAAUCCGGAACCAAUGCUUCUAUCAGCAUGUUUGGCUUCAAAGCCUUCAGCUUUUGCACAGUCUGAGCAAAAUGACCACUCCCUUGAUCGAGCAAAUCAUCACGAUCCACACUAGUAAUAACGACAUAAUCCAAACCCCACGAUGCAAUUGCCUCGGCCACAUUGACAGGCUCAUCCGGAUCAGGUGGAGGAGGAGUACGCGAUGUCUUCACAUUGCAAAACCUGCAACCACGAGUACAGGUAUCCCCAAGAAUCAUAAUGGUGGCAGUAGCGGUUCCUGUCUCGCCACCAGACCAGCACUCACCCAAAUUAGGACACUUAGCCUCCUCGCAAACAGUAUGCAACUUCAAUUCCCUGAGCUUCUUCUUGAUCUGGACGUACUUUUCGCCACCGGGGAUUGCUUCCUUCAUCCAUUUGGGCUUCGGAAGGGGUUUUUUCUUGGUGCCCACUUCAACGGAGUAGGAGUUAUUAGACUGGAGGUCGGUGAAGUCGGAAAGGGAAGGGGCCUCGGAGGCUAAACGGGCACGGAGACCAGCAAGAGUUUGGGGGAAUUGGGGUUUUGCGGCCUCGACUAGGGAGGAGAAAAAGCGGGGUUUCGUGGAUUUGACGGCGCGAGCUAGGGGUGUGAAGCGAGAAUGAAACAUGGUUUCUGGUUAUCUAGCCAGAUCCCCCGUGGGAGAGAUCAGCAGAGGUCGAAAUUUGAGAGGAGAAGAUUGGGUACUAGGGAUUAGAAGAAAUGGUCGUUUGAGUUGGUUGGUGUGGUGGCGCGGUGGUUACUGACACGGA